This 240-nucleotide unclassified non-coding RNA is filed under the name soil metagenome. Its description in RNAcentral is "partial contains 5.8S ribosomal RNA, internal transcribed spacer 2, and large subunit ribosomal RNA". The record is from RNAcentral.
AACCUAGCACACCUGCGGUGUGUACCUGCGGAAGGAUCAUUAACCUUUCAAAUCAGGGUGCGGCGCGGCCCCCGAGGGGCGGAAACAAUCCUUGGGAGGUAUGCGGGGGCUUCGAGCCCCCCAUUUACGCACGCACGACUGCCAUCCUUACUUUACGAGCACCUUCUGUUCUCCCUCGGCGGGGCAACCUGCCGUUGGAACCGAAUAAACUCUUUUUGCAUCUAGCAUUACCUGUUCCGA